This 75-nucleotide transfer RNA is filed under the name Patescibacteria group bacterium. RNAcentral's name for it is "tRNA-Arg". It matches the Rfam family "tRNA". From Rfam's summary of the family: Transfer RNA (tRNA) molecules are approximately 80 nucleotides in length. Their secondary structure includes four short double-helical elements and three loops (D, anti-codon, and T loops). Further hydrogen bonds mediate the characteristic L-shaped molecular structure. tRNAs have two regions of fundamental functional importance: the anti-codon, which is responsible for specific mRNA codon recognition, and the 3' end, to which the tRNAs corresponding amino acid is attached (by aminoacyl-tRNA synthetases). tRNAs cope with the degeneracy of the genetic code in two manners: having more than one tRNA (with a specific anti-codon) for a particular amino acid; and 'wobble' base-pairing, i.e. permitting non-standard base-pairing at the 3rd anti-codon position. The record is from RNAcentral.
GCACCCUUAGCUUAACGGAUAAAGCUCCGGUCUUCGAAACCGGCAAUGGGGGUUCGAUUCCCUCAGGGUGCACCA